RNAcentral lists this ribosomal RNA (411 nucleotides) under Sympetrum kunckeli. RNAcentral's name for it is "partial 16S ribosomal RNA". The stretch from base 1 to 207 matches the Rfam family "Archaeal large subunit ribosomal RNA", at positions 1889 to 2143 of the family's 2987-position model. Lineage: Eukaryota; Metazoa; Arthropoda; Insecta; Odonata; Libellulidae. The record is from RNAcentral.
CGCCUGUUUAACAAAAACAUGGCCUUUAGAAUUUAAUUUAAGGUCUGACCUGCCCAGUGAUGAAUUUAACGGCCGCGGUAUAUUGACCGUGCAAAGGUAGCAUAAUCAUUAGUCUUUUAAUAGAGGGCUGGAAUGAAUGGUUUAACGAGGAAUUGACUGUCUCAUUUUAUUUGUUUUAAAACUUAAUUUUUUAGUUAAAAAGCUAAAAUAUUAUUGGAAGACGAGAAGACCCUAUAGAUCUUUAUAUAAUUUUUUGUAUUUAUUUAUAUAUUAACAUAAUUGUAGUAAGGUUAUAUUUUGUUGGGGUGACAAAAAUAUAUAAUUAACUUUUUCAUUUAUUUACCAUUGAUAUAUGAAUUUUAGAUCCAUUUUUAGUGAUUGAUAGAUUAAGUUACCUUAGGGAUAACAGCG